GGCAGGUAUUUAAGAGGUCGAAGUCGGGCCGGGCCGGCUGGACGCCAUGCUGUUCACCGAGACUGCCCACUUCGUGGUGAAUUUUCUUCUGUCCCGGUGGAAGCACCGAUGGCAGAAUAUUAACUACCAAUUCCUGGGCAAGAGGAAAAGACAUCUAGUUCCCCUGCGCCCGUGAGAUCUGGAAGAGUUUUUACAAGAUUGACAGAUUUGACUGUAUUAAAAUUUCUGUUCAUCAGAAGGGACCUAAAAAGGUAAAAUAAU
This 261-nucleotide long non-coding RNA is filed under the name Neogale vison (American mink). RNAcentral's name for it is "Neovison vison (American mink) lncRNA (ENSNVIG00000024278.1)". Lineage: Eukaryota; Metazoa; Chordata; Mammalia; Carnivora; Mustelidae. The record is from RNAcentral.